Molecule: long non-coding RNA, 240 nt
Filed under: Elaeis guineensis (African oil palm)
Lineage: Eukaryota; Viridiplantae; Streptophyta; Magnoliopsida; Arecales; Arecaceae
Description: long non-coding RNA (EGUI_LNC026006)
Source: RNAcentral
UUGUGGUAUUUUUCAUAGGUUUAUCAAACUGCAUCUUUGCACUACUUUAUUUUCAAGAUGCAAUAUCCACACUUUAUAAUCAUUUAUAAAUAGCUUCUACUAUUUAAUAUAUAGCAACUGGCUCCUUUGUUUACUGAAAAAAGAUGCUGCAUUAUUGGAUAGAAGAAUAGAUUAUAUUUUUUUCUUCAUGUGCACAUGAACCAACUAUAUUUUCAUCAAUAUUUGUAUAAAACUAUGUGA